CCUACGGGAGGCAGCAGUAAGGAAUCUUCCACAAUGGACGAAAGUCUGAUGGAGCAACGCCGCGUGCAGGAUGAAGGCUUUCGGGUCGUAAACUGCUUUUAUAUGGGAAGAUUAUGACGGUACCAUAUGAAUAAGGACCGGCUAACUACGUGCCAGCAGCCGCGGUAAUACGUAGGGUCCAAGCGAUAUCCGGAAUUACUGGGCGUAAAGCGUGUGUAGGUGGAUUAAUAAGUGUGAUGCGAAAUCCGGCGGCUCAACCGUUUGGACUGUGUCGCAUACUGUUAGUCUAGAGGACGGCAGAGGUAAGUGGAAUUACGGGUGUAGCAGUGAAAUGCGUAGAUAUCCGUAGGAACACCAAUGGCGAAGGCAGCUUACUGGGCCACACCUGACACUGAGACACGAAAGCGUGGGGAGCGAACAGGAUUAGAUACCCUGGUAGUCCACGCCGUAAACGAUGCAUACUAUUAGUAUGGGGUAUCGACCCCCUGUGCUGAGAAGCUAACGCGAUAAGUAUGCCGCCUGGGGAGUACGGUGCAGAUUAACUACAANAGAAUUGACCGGNUGAGAGNGCGAGACGACGACGAGGGAGAGG
Molecule: ribosomal RNA, 592 nt
Filed under: uncultured bacterium
Lineage: Bacteria
Description: bacterial SSU rRNA
Rfam family: Bacterial small subunit ribosomal RNA
Source: RNAcentral